Molecule: ribosomal RNA, 477 nt
Filed under: uncultured bacterium
Lineage: Bacteria
Description: partial 16S ribosomal RNA
Rfam family: Bacterial small subunit ribosomal RNA
Source: RNAcentral
AUUGAACGCUGGCGGCAUGCCUUACACAUGCAAGUCGAACGGUAACAGGUUAAGCUGACGAGUGGCGAACGGGUGAGUAAUGUAUCGGAACGUGCCCAGUCGUGGGGGAUACCUGAUCGAAGGGGCAGCAAAUCCCCAAUUCGACUGAAGGGGGAAACGGGGGAAUGGCAGCACCUCGCGCAAUUGAACCGGCCGAUAUCGGAUUAGGUCGUUGGCGAGUGAAAGGCUCACCAAGCCAACGACCUGUAGCUGGUCUGAGAGGAAGGCCGGCCACACGGGUAGUGAGACACGGCCCAGACUCCUACGGGGGGCAGCGGUGGGGAAUUUUGGACAAUGGGCGCAAAGCGGAUCCAGCCAUGCCGCGGGCGGGAAGAAGGCCUUCGGGUUGGAAAGCGCUGUUGUCAGGGAGGAAGAGGUUCUGGCUAAUACCUGGGACUCAUGACGGUACCUGAAGAAUAAGCACCGGCUAACUACGUG